UGUUAAAACUUAUGAGGAAAAUUUGCCGACAAAUAACAUUUGCCGACAAAUGUAUAAAAAACUUUACACCUUGAACGACUUUUUGUUGCUAAUAUUACGGCCACUUGUAUCAACGAUGGAGAUUUCACGAACAAUUCAUAUUUAUUCAGAUUUCAAAUAAACAAAAACGUCGAGAUAAAAAAUCAACGGCAAAAACAAUUUUUUAGAGCGAAGUUCAAAAUGAAUGUGUUAUGGGCAAUACUUUGGUUUCUUAUUCUGUUAUUUAUCGCCUGGCCAAUCGCUGGUUUUUGUGCGAGUUGGUAUGUUUGUUGUCUUCCAUUUGAAGUAUGCAUCGAGCAACUUAAACCUCUAAAUGAAAUUUUAUUCAAAGGCGUCAAAAUUCCUUAUGAAGUAGCCCUUCGUUUAAAAGAUGGUAAAGAAGGCUGGUAAUAAAGAAGCCUGACAAUAAAAAAGCUGGUAAUAGGAACUAUUCAAAUUUCUUAUAAUCUUACACAACAUUUUUUUGUACGCAUUCAAUUUUUUUUCUGUGUGGUAUAUUUAUGUUUUGUUAAGUAUUUUGUUAAACUUUUUACAAAUAUUUAUCUACAGUAAACACAAUCUUUUAUUAAAAGAAUAUAUAUGA
Molecule: long non-coding RNA, 622 nt
Organism: Hydra vulgaris (swiftwater hydra)
Lineage: Eukaryota; Metazoa; Cnidaria; Hydrozoa; Anthoathecata; Hydridae
Source: RefSeq, a predicted model, not a curated record